GUAAUUUUCGUUAACAACUGCGGCCAAAAUAGUUGUAAGAUCUCGUUAAUGGUCCAUCUCUCCCUUCCAGGCACCCCCGCUCCUUCAGCUGCCGCCAAGAGUGAGGCUCCUCCGUCCCCUCCAUCCGCCCCAGGUCCAUCCGUAGUCCCAAGCAGUGGGGCCACCCCCUUCGCUUUUACAAGCCCUCCUCUCAAAGCCCCCGUCCCGGCUCCGAAUUCUUCUCUGCCUUAUCCGUUCCCGUCGGAGGCCUCAACAGCAGCUCCUGCGCCGAGCACAAGCCAGGCCACCGAGUUCUCUUCUCCCGCUACCCCGAAGGCACCCCAAGCUCCCGUCUCCUCGUCCGGCCUCAUCCCGGUUUCCGCUCCAUCUUUCUCCUUCGGGCCGGCAAGCUUCAAGAGCCGCGUCGACGGGCCUGUUCCUUCCGUCGCCACAAAGGCCAGCUUUGCUCCAGCAGCGUCCUCCGUCAAGGUCAACCUCAACGAAAAGUUCGCGGCUGCCGAGUCUGCUGCCCCUCCCACCAACACCGGCCAAGGUUCUUCGCCCUUCCUCUUUCCCCCGGCUGCAAAGUCUACCCCUGCAGGAUCCCUAAGCGUGUCCACGCCGCCUCCUCCUCCCGCCCCCAUAAAGGCUUCUACCCCGGUGACUUCAGCAAUGCGUCCACCUCAAAGCGCUCCGGCCACCUCGGGCCUUCAGAAAGCUGCCAAGGUAUCCCCCGUGGCUCCAAAAUCGAGCCCUUCGCAGGUAAGAAGGAAUUGGAUCGCUUUUCCGUGAAUUGAACCCUUCCGUAGUUUAGUUUGGUUUAGUUUAUAGUCGUUGCACCUCAUACAACGAAAUCAAACACCGUCUUCAGCGCACAUCAUGACCAUGCAAAUAAACGCACCCUU
This 884-nucleotide long non-coding RNA is filed under the name Pseudonaja textilis. Its description in RNAcentral is "lncRNA (ENSPTXG00000014289.1)". The record is from RNAcentral. Lineage: Eukaryota; Metazoa; Chordata; Lepidosauria; Squamata; Elapidae.